GUAGGUGGCAAGCGUUGUCCGGAAUUAUUGGGCGUAAAGCGCGCGCAGGCGGUCCUUUAAGUCUGAUGUGAAAGCCCACGGCUCAACCGUGGAGGGUCAUUGGAAACUGGGGGACUUGAGUACAGAAGAGGAAAGCGGAAUUCCAAGCGUAGCGGUGAAAUGCGUAGAGAUUUGGAGGAACACCAGUGGCGAAGGCGGCUUUCUGGUCUGUAACUGACGCUGAGGCGCGAAAGCGUGGGGAGCAAACAGGGAUUAGAUACCCUGGUAGUCCACGCCGUAAACGAUGAGUGCUAAGUGUUAGGGGGUUUCCCGCCCCUUAGUGCUGCAGCUAACGCAUUAAGCACUCCGCCUGGGGAGUACGGCCGCAAGGCUG
RNAcentral lists this ribosomal RNA (373 nucleotides) under uncultured organism. RNAcentral describes it as "partial 16S ribosomal RNA". It matches the Rfam family "Bacterial small subunit ribosomal RNA", at positions 527 to 896 of the family's 1533-position model. The record is from RNAcentral.